GCUCAGGAUGAACGCUGGCGGCGCGCCUAACACAUGCAAGUCGAACGAGCGAGAGAGAGCUUGCUUUCUUGAGCGAGUGGCGAACGGGUGAGUAACGCGUGAGGAACCUGCCUCAAAGAGGGGGACAACAGUUGGAAACGACUGCUAAUACCGCAUAAGCCCACGGCUCGGCAUCGAGCAGAGGGAAAAGGAGCAAUCCGCUUUGAGAUGGCCUCGCGUCCGAUUAGCUAGUUGGUGAGGUAACGGCCCACCAAGGCAACGAUCGGUAGCCGGACUGAGAGGUUGAACGGCCACAUUGGGACUGAGACACGGCCCAGACUCCUACGGGAGGCAGCAGUA
This 339-nucleotide ribosomal RNA is filed under the name uncultured bacterium. Its description in RNAcentral is "bacterial SSU rRNA". It matches the Rfam family "Bacterial small subunit ribosomal RNA", at positions 22 to 356 of the family's 1533-position model. The record is from RNAcentral.